GUAGGUGGCAAGCGUUGUCCGGAAUUAUUGGGCGUAAAGCGCGCGCAGGCGGGUUCUUUAAGUCUGAUGUGAAAGCCCACGGGCUCAACCGUGGAGGGUCAUUGGAAACUGGAGAACUUGAGUACAGAAGAGGAAAGCGGAAUUCCACGUGUAGCGGUGAAAUGCGUAGAGAUGUGGAGGAACACCAGUGGCGAAGGCGGCUUUCUGGUCUGUAACUGACGCUGAGGCGCGAAAGCGUGGGGAGCAAACAGGAUUAGAUACCCUGGUAGUCCACGCCGUAAACGGUGAGUGCUAAGUGUUAGGGGGUUUCCGCCCCUUAGUGCUGCAGCUAACGCAUUAAGCACUCCGCCUGGGGAGUACGGCCGCAAAGGCUG
RNAcentral lists this ribosomal RNA (374 nucleotides) under uncultured organism. Its description in RNAcentral is "partial 16S ribosomal RNA". It matches the Rfam family "Bacterial small subunit ribosomal RNA", at positions 527 to 896 of the family's 1533-position model. The record is from RNAcentral.